AUCCGGGAUGCUAAGGCUGAGAACUGAUGACGAGUGUUCCUCGGAACAUGAAGUGCUUGAUGCCAUGCUUCCAAGAAAGGCCUCUAAGCUUCAGGUAAAAAGAGACCGUACUCUAAACCGACACAGGUGGUCAGGUAGAGAAUACCAAGGCGCUUGAGAGAACUCGGGUGAAGGAACUAGGCAAAAUGGCACCGUAACUUCGGGAGAAGGUGCGCCGGUUUUGGUGAAAGGGCUUGCCCCUCGAGCUGAGGCCGGCCGAAGAUACCAGUCCCCUGCAACUGUUUAUUAAAAACACAGCACUCUGCAAACACGUAAGUGGACGUAUAGGGUGUGACGCCUGCCCGGUGCCGGAAGGUUAAUUGAUGGGGUUAGCGUAAGCGAAGCUCUUGAUCGAAGCCCCGGUAAACGGCGGCCGUAACGAUAACGGUCCUAAGGUAGCGAAAUUCCUUGUCGGGUAAGUUCCGACCUGCACGAAUGGCGUAAUGAUGGGGGAGCUGUCUCCACCCGAGACUCAGUGAAAUUGAAAUCGCGGUUAAGAUGCCGUGUACCCGCGGCUAGACGGAAAGACCCCGUGAACCUUUACUGUAGCUUUGCACUGAACUUUGAACCUAUCUGUGUAGGAUAGGUGGGAGGCUUUGAAGUCGAGACGCUAGUUUCGAUGGAGCCGUCCUUGAAAUACCACCCUGGUAUGUUUGAGGUUCUAACCUAGGUCCGUUAUCCGGACUGGGGACAGUGUAUGGUGGGCAGUUUGACUGGGGCGGUCUCCUCCCAAAGAGUAACGGAGGAGCACGAAGGUUGGCUAAUCCUGGUCGGAAAUCAGGAGGUUAGUGUAAUGGCACAAGCCAGCUUGACUGCGAGACAGACAUGUCGAGCAGGUACGAAAGUAGGUCAUAGUGAUCCGGUGGUUCUGUAUGGAAGGGCCAUCGCUCAACGGAUAAAAGGUACUCCGGGGAUAACAGGCUGAUACCGCCCAAGAGUUCACAUCGACGGCGGUGUUUGGCACCUCGAUGUCGGCUCAUCACAUCCUGGGCUGAAGCCGGUCCCAAGGGUAUGGCUGUUCGCCAUUUAAAGUGGUACGCGAGCUGGGUUUAGAACGUCGUGAGACAGUUCGGUCCCUAUCUGCCGUAGGCGUUGGAGAUUUGAGAAGAGUUGUUCCUAGUACGAGAGGACCGGAAUGAACGCACCUCUGGUGUUCGGGUUGUCAUGCCAAUGGCAUCGCCCGGUAGCUACGUGCGGACGGGAUAACCGCUGAAAGCAUCUAAGCGGGAAGCCUCCUUCAAGAUUAGAUCUCCCUGGAACUUUAAGUUCCCUGUAGAGCCGUUGAAGACUACGACGUUGAUAGGUUGGGUGUGGAAGCGUCGCGAGGCGUUGAGCUAACCAAUACUAAUUGCUCGUGCGGCUUGACC
This 1406-nucleotide ribosomal RNA is filed under the name metagenome. Its description in RNAcentral is "bacterial LSU rRNA". It matches the Rfam family "Bacterial large subunit ribosomal RNA", at positions 1540 to 2925 of the family's 2925-position model. The record is from RNAcentral.